GUGAGGAAUUUUCCGCAAUGGGCGAAAGCCUGACGGAGCAAUGCCGCGUGAAGGAUGAAGGCCUAUGGGUUGUAAACUUCUUUUCUCAGAAAAGAAUUAUGACGGUAUCUGAGGAAUAAGCAUCGGCUAACUCUGUGCCAGCAGCCGCGGUAAGACAGAGGAUGCAAGCGUUAUCCGGAAUGAUUGGGCGUAAAGCGUCUGUAGGUUGUUUAAAAAGUAUUCUGUCAUAGAUUAGGGCUUAACCUUAGAUAGGCAGAAUAAACUUUUAAGCUAGAGUUUGGUAGAGGCAGAGGGAAUUCCCGGUGGAGCGGUGAAAUGCGUAGAUAUCGGGAGGAACACCAAAGGCGAAGGCACUCUGCUGGGCCAAUACUAACACUGAGAGACGAAAGAGAGGGGAGCAAAUGGGAUUAGAAACCCCAGUAGUCC
RNAcentral lists this ribosomal RNA (426 nucleotides) under uncultured bacterium. RNAcentral's name for it is "partial 16S ribosomal RNA". It matches the Rfam family "Bacterial small subunit ribosomal RNA", at positions 354 to 796 of the family's 1533-position model. The record is from RNAcentral.